This 714-nucleotide ribosomal RNA is filed under the name uncultured Bacteroidales bacterium. RNAcentral's name for it is "bacterial SSU rRNA". It matches the Rfam family "Bacterial small subunit ribosomal RNA", at positions 70 to 776 of the family's 1533-position model. The record is from RNAcentral. Lineage: Bacteria; Pseudomonadati; Bacteroidota; Bacteroidia; Bacteroidales.
CAUGGUCUUAGCUUGCUAAGGCCGAUGGCGACCGGCGCACGGGUGAGUAACACGUAUCCAACCUGCCGUCUACUCUUGGACAGCCUUCUGAAAGGAAGAUUAAUACAAGAUGGCAUCAUGAGUCCGCAUGUUCACAUGAUUAAAGGUAUUCCGGUAGACGAUGGGGAUGCGUUCCAUUAGAUAGUAGGCGGGGUAACGGCCCACCUAGUCUUCGAUGGAUAGGGGUUCUGAGAGGAAGGUCCCCCACAUUGGAACUGAGACACGGUCCAAACUCCUACGGGAGGCAGCAGUGAGGAAUAUUGGUCAAUGGGCGAGAGCCUGAACCAGCCAAGUAGCGUGAAGGAUGACUGCCCUAUGGGUUGUAAACUUCUUUUAUAAAGGAAUAAAGUCGGGUAUGGAUACCCGUUUGCAUGUACUUUAUGAAUAAGGAUCGGCUAACUCCGUGCCAGCAGCCGCGGUAAUACGGAGGAUCCGAGCGUUAUCCGGAUUUAUUGGGUUUAAAGGGAGCGUAGAUGGAUGUUUAAGUCAGUUGUGAAAGUUUGCGGCUCAACCGUAAAAUUGCAGUUGAUACUGGAUAUCUUGAGUGCAGUUGAGGCAGGCGGAAUUCGUGGUGUAGCGGUGAAAUGCUUAGAUAUCACGAAGAACUCCGAUUGCGAAGGCAGCCUGCUAAGCUGCAACUGACAUUGAGGCUCGAAAGUGUGGGUAUCAAACAGG